This 1433-nucleotide ribosomal RNA is filed under the name uncultured bacterium. Its description in RNAcentral is "bacterial SSU rRNA". It matches the Rfam family "Bacterial small subunit ribosomal RNA". The record is from RNAcentral.
AGAGUUUGAUUCUGGCUCAGAACGUACGCUGGCGGCACGCCUAACACAUGCAAGUCGAACGAAGUAGCAAUACUUAGUGGCAGACGGGUGAGUAACAUGUAGGUAUCUGCCCUUUGGCCUGGAAUAACACGAGGAAACUUGUGCUAAUACCGGAUAAGUCUUUACGGAGAAAGCUUUAUGCACCAUUGGAUGAGCCUGCACUUGAUUAGUUUGUUGGUGGGGUAAUGGCCUACCAAGACUGUGAUCAAUAGCUGAUUUGAGAGGAUGAUCAGCCACAUUGGGACUGAGACACGGCCCAAACUCCUACGGGAGGCAGCAGUGGGGAAUCUUGCACAAUGGAGGAAACUCUGAUGCAGCGAUGCCGCGUGAGUGAAGAAGGCCCUUGGGUUGUAAAGCUCUUUCGUCGGGGAAGAAAAUGACUGUACCCGAAUAAGAAGGUCCGGCUAACUUCGUGCCAGCAGCCGCGGUAAUACGAAGGGACCUAGCGUAGUUCGGAAUUACUGGGCUUAAAGAGUUCGUAGGUGGUUGAAAAAGUUAGUGGUGAAAUCCCAGAGCUUAACUCUGGAACUGCCAUUAAAACUUUUCAGCUAGAGUAUGAUAGAGGAAAGCAGAAUUUCUAGUGUAGAGGUGAAAUUCGUAGAUAUUAGAAAGAAUACCAAUUGCGAAGGCAGCUUUCUGGAUCAUUACUGACACUGAGGAACGAAAGCAUGGGUAGCGAAGAGGAUUAGAUACCCUCGUAGUCCAUGCCGUAAACGAUGUGUGUUAGACGUUGGAAAUUUAUUUUCAGUGUCGCAGGGAAACCGAUAAACACACCGCCUGGGGAGUACGACCGCAAGGUUAAAACUCAAAUGAAUUGACGGGGACCCGCACAAGUAGUGGAGCAUGUGGUUUAAUUCGAAGAUACGCGCAGAACCUUACCAACACUUGACAUGUUCGUCGCGACUCUAAGAGAUUAGAGUUUUCGGUUCGGCCGGACGAAACACAGGUGCUGCAUGGCUGUCGUCAGCUCGUGUCGUGAGAUGUUGGGUUAAGUCCCGCAACGAGCGCAACCCUCACUUUUAGUUGCCAUCAUUAAGUUGGGCACUCUGAAAGAACUGCCAGUGAUAAGCUGGAGGAAGGUGGGGAUGACGUCAAGUCCUCAUGGCCCUUACGUGUUGGGCUACACACGUGCUACAAUGGUAUCUACAACAGGAAGCAAGACUGCGAAGUUAAGCAAAUCCCUAAAAGAUACCUCAGUUCGGAUUGCACUCUGCAACUCGAGUGCAUGAAGCUGGAAUUACUAGUAAUCGUGGAUCAGCGUGCCACGGUGAAUGCGUUCCCGGGUCUUGUACACACCGCCCGUCACACCAUGGGAGUUGGUUCUACCUUAAGGCAAGGUUUAAAACCCUUGACCACGGUAUAGUCAGCGACUGGGGUGAAGUCGUAACAAGGUA